This 484-nucleotide ribosomal RNA is filed under the name uncultured bacterium. Its description in RNAcentral is "partial 16S ribosomal RNA". It matches the Rfam family "Bacterial small subunit ribosomal RNA", at positions 30 to 507 of the family's 1533-position model. The record is from RNAcentral.
AUUGAACGCUGGCGGCAGGCCUAACACAUGCAAGUCGAGCGGAUGAAGGGAGCUUGCUCCUGGAUUCAGCGGCGGACGGGUGAGUAAUGCCUAGGAAUCUGCCUGGUAGUGGGGGAUAACGUCCGGAAACGGGCGCUAAUACCGCAUACGUCCUGAGGGAGAAAGUGGGGGAUCUUCGGACCUCACGCUAUCAGAUGAGCCUAGGUCGGAUUAGCUAGUUGGUGGGGUAAAGGCCUACCAAGGCGACGAUCCGUAACUGGUCUGAGAGGAUGAUCAGUCACACUGGAACUGAGACACGGUCAAGACUACUACGGGAGGCAGCAGUGGGGAAUAUUGGGCAAUGGGCGAAAGCCUGAUCCAGCCAUGCCGCGUGUGUGAAGAAGGUCUUCGGAUUGUAAAGAACUUUAAGUUGGGAGGAAGGGCAGUAAGUUAAUACCUUGCUGUUUUGACGUUACCAACAGAAUAAGCACCGGCUAACUUCGUG